CGAAUUCUUUCAGCCGAAAUUCCACGCUUCAAUCAACGUUUUAAUUCUCGGUUAAUUCGUUGAUGUCUCGAUUAAAAAUAAAAUAUUGAACAAAUUAACACAUGUUAAUAAACAGUUGUAGACAAAGGAUAUAAAUGGCAGGCCACAAGCAUGAUUCUUAUAUUUAACAAUUGGUCGAGUUUAUAGUUCGUGGACCUCGCACCACAAAGAAAAUCGACAUGGUCCCUUCUGACUGGGUAUCUUUGAACAAAAAAACAGGCAAAAUUAUCACAAAAUUUAUGCCUCAACCGUAUACAGAGAAGAGAUGUGGUGUUUUGAAAAAUCUAGUAAAAGCUUUAGGUGAUCCUGUAGAUGACUGGCCACAAUUUAAUGUAAUUAUAAAAGGUGGUGCUAGGUCAUGUAAUGAAACUGAGAAACGUUUACAAACUCUACAAACCGAGGAAUAUGCGUUUUCUAUGGAAAGCGAUAUGACACCAAAAUAAAUUGCUCAAAAAGCAGUUCGUAAAAUAAAGCAAAAAAAGUUAAAAAUUAGUGCUGAAGCAGAAGCUGCUUUGCGCAAUGUCCCAGAUUUAAACUCUGAUAACGAAACAGAGAUAGAAAAUAUUGCAGCAAAUGCCAAUCAAAAAUCGUCAAUGAAUAAGACUCCAACGUACUCUGCAAUAAACUGAUAUCGAGAAAGAGAAUUUAUAAAAACUCCUGCUGUUUUAAAAAUCAAUAGUCGUACUGAGUAUUCCUUCCAAUUGGAAAAUAAGUUUGGAAACGGCAAGAGCGGUGCAAACAUCAAAUCAGUAAAGAAUAAAAAUAUUAAAACUAACCUAAUUACUGAUCCAGAAGAAAAUUGGGAUGACAGUAAGUGAUGAAAGUUUACUUGAGAUUGAAUCUAUGGAGAAAGUACACCCGACAAGUUCAGAAUUAUUAUAUGAAAACGUAUAUUCAGAUUCCGGGGAGGAUAAACGUGACAAAGAAGAAAAACUCAGUACUUUUAAGGGAAAACACACUAGUUUUCAACCAAAAAUACAAAUUGAUUCGCAGAGUUUUGUCAAUAAAUCAAAGGAAAAUUAGGAAAGAAACCUGACAAACCGAAUGAUUUUAAAAGAGACCAGCAUUUAAAAGAGAAAAAACCUCACCGACCCAAAAAAUAUAGACAUACUUCAGAUACUAAUUGCAAAUAAGCUUUAUUUCUAAAUCAAAGCAAAUCAACGCUGUGAACAAGAAGCACGCCACAAUGCUUUAAUUGAACAAGGCAUUCAGGAGAAUUUUCUAACAAAAUAUAACUUGGAUUUGCCUUUCUGCACUAAAGCAGAAUUUGACGAAUUCUGCUAAAAUAUUCGCACGAAUGAUGAUUAUAGAAAGGAAUUCGAGUAAUUGCAGAUACACAUAAAGAUCAAAACGGAAAGUUUAUUACGGAGUCGACUUUUUUAAGUUUACUAGGAAAUGUUCUGAGUAACACUAAGGAUUGGAAGGGAAAUUGAAGGAAGAGACCUUGUUGUACGAACGAUGAUGGCGAGAAAGAUGACUAAUUUGAAGAUUAAUAAUUUCGUCAUAUCUUCAUUUU
Molecule: long non-coding RNA, 1555 nt
Organism: Belonocnema kinseyi
Lineage: Eukaryota; Metazoa; Arthropoda; Insecta; Hymenoptera; Cynipidae
Exons: 6
Source: RefSeq, a predicted model, not a curated record